GAAGUGUUAAUAAAAUAAUUAUGUAACUUUGUCAAAGUUAAAUUAUAGACCAAACCCUAUACACCUCU
Molecule: transfer RNA, 68 nt
Filed under: Bradypus torquatus (Maned three-toed sloth)
Lineage: Eukaryota; Metazoa; Chordata; Mammalia; Pilosa; Bradypodidae
Description: tRNA-Asp
Source: RNAcentral